Long non-coding RNA from Vespa mandarinia (Asian giant hornet), 3208 nucleotides. NCBI's taxonomy places the organism in Eukaryota, Metazoa, Arthropoda, Insecta, Hymenoptera, Vespidae. The record is from RefSeq and is a predicted model, not a curated record.
AGAUCAUGUACAUUAUGUAAUCUAAACUGGUUUAAGUAUCUUUAUCCUAAUCCAUGGGUGUCCGACAACCAUUGCCUUUGUCCACAUUGAACAAAUUCUCUUGGGGCAUAUAUAGAACAAUUAAAUAUAGAUAUCAUAUUAUAUCUUCACGAGAAAAACAUUCGGCAUGCUUUCGUGUGUUCUAUAAAACGACGUAGUGUGUCAGUCGUGCCAACCGCACAAUUGCGGCAACGCCGGUUUUCGGUGUCUUUUUAUUCACUAGAUUACAUUUUUGAAGCUACCAUAGGAAAAGUUUACGAUGUUCGUUUCGCGUUUAUGCCGUUUCGUUUGUUUUCCUUGGCCCGCGUAUUAGACUUCCCUGUUUUAAUUAUUUAAAUAAAUUUUUCGUAACGAUAUAUUUACUUGCAUCCGAUGCCCACUCGUGUCACAGUUAUAAUUAUAAAGCGCUAACGAAUUAUUCCAUAAAAUGUUUCUUUAACGCGAUUUCGACGGGAAGAUAGGUAGUUAGAGUAUUAUACGCGUAAAAAUUUUAUUAUUCGAUAGGUAUUUCUUUUUUCCUCCCUUCUCCCAGCCCAUUUAUACAAAAGAGUGUAAUUUCUUCUUAUAUUCUAUACUAAAAUAUCAUUGAUUCAUUUAUUGAGUUCUGCACUCUUCGCGGUCGGCAUUUUGAGACCAGACGCAAACAUGCAUGCUAGUGUGGAAGACUAAACCAUGUUGACAUUGAAGCCUUUGCGGAAUUCCGAAGACGCAUCGAUAGUACUAUAAAAAAGAAAAAGAAAAAAAAUAUGAAGUAUAUAUGAUAGAAGUAAAUGGGCGGUAAUGGUGGUGAUGUAGGAAGAGAAUGAAGAAGAUGGUCAAACUUGAGAUGCUGUCUUGAGGAAGAUCGUCUGGGUUUUUUCUUUUCUUUUCUUGUUUUUUUCUUUGUUUUGUUUUUUUUUUUCUUUUUUUCUUUAAUUUAUAAACGUUCACAUUCAAUGGGAAAUAAACUUUUGUACGUCAUUAAGUUGUCUUUUUUAAUGACGCUGAAGUUACGAUACAUACCAUAGCACAAUUUUUCGAAGGAAUGUAUUCUUCGCUUUUGCAAACAACAUUUUCAUUAUCAUCGACCGGUGGUUUAGAAGAGGAGCCUGGAUUUAUUGGCACAGUUGGGCGAGUUGUUUCUUCAGUGUCCCUCGUGCUGUAUCCUACCGUGGAACUCGUCGUGCUUGGUGGUCUUGCCCAAUCAGGCUAAGCAGGAAAAUAAAACGCGAUAUUAAUCAUUUAAUCUUCUAUAAAUUUAAAAUCAUAUUCGCUUACGGUAGGCGUAGAGUGAUGUUCUUUCUUAGGGACCUUAUAUCCCUUCAUACCAUCGUGAAUUACUUUCAUGAGAGGAUUCUUUUCUCCGCAGAGACCGGUGAAAUCAUCCAUAUCUAUUGCCCAAACCAUAGCACCGGCAUAGCUUUUUUCCCUAAUAAAGUCCAUCUUUAUCUUAACACUGUCGGCAUCCUCAUAACCAACCCACUGUGUUUCUACACAAAGAAAGAAUUUGUAGUCGUUCGUCUUCCACGAAACUUGCUUGUCCCAUCAUGAAUUUGUAUCUUUAUUUAAAAAAUAUAUUUACCCUUGUAAGCGUAAGGUACCUUUCCAAUGGAGUCGUAUUUCUUUGUCCAUCCUGAUUUAGGAUUAUUUACUUCUGUGCAAAUCUAAAUAAUGGAGAUCAUGUUAAGUUCGCCUUAACUUAUAUCUUACUAUAUGAAAGAAAGAAAAUUGUUGGCAUAUAGGUGUACUUGCGUAAAUUAUGAAAAAUUACCUCGUAAUAUGCUAAGAAUCCUCUAGCCUGUGUGUACGGUCCAGGAUCACCACCACCUGCUUCUUUGUUUAUGUAGGUUCCUGGAUUGUAAUUCGUGUUGCCACGCGAAAGUGUGAAUGUACGACCGUACAAAGGCACACCUACGACCAAUUUGUUCGCUGGGCAUCCUUUGUCCUCCCAAAGCAAAAGACCGUCGUGCUGUAUAGAUAAAAGGCAAUCGUGAUCGGAGAAUAAUUGGCUUUUCUCUUCAUGCGCUAUAUUAUGUAUGAACAAUCAUCGUACAUAGAAACGUAUCAACGUGUAGUAUCAACCUACCACAUUGAGUUUUUCAUAGGCAUAACUGUCGUGCGGUCUCUUGUAAAGGGGACUAUGGACAUCAGCAAAUCCAGCCCAGUUUCCACGAAGAUCGUAAGACAUAACGUGUAUCGCGUCGAGGUACCUGAAUACGAGGAUAACAAUGUGAAUGUAUUUAUUAGGGAAGGAAACUAAAGCGAGGAAUAAUAUACUCACUUGCAAAAUUCUGGAACGUGAUAACCUUCGUCGAGACGGAACUUGGCCAUAGGUACGGCCAUUGUGAUCUCCCAUCCUUUUCCUUCUUUAUCGAAAGCACGUUUAAGUUCCUCAACGAAGUAGAAGAAAUUGUCCUUAUCGGAGAAUUUGCCACCCCUGUCCGUAGCACUAGGGUAUUCCCAGUCGAGAUCGAAACCGUCGAACUCGUAUUUGUACAUGAAAUCUUCAAUAGGAACGAAUGAUUUCGGAAGAUGUCAUAAAAUAACUAUAUACGGUGUAAUAGUUGUAUAGCAUGGCAGAUUUUUAAUGCUAGAUACCAUGAUUACGUAUUAAAGAAGAGAUCUAAGAGAGAACAUACCAACGACGCUCUUUAUGAAGGUAUCUCUGCGUUGUUUCACCGUAACGAGGUUGCUAUAUUUCUUGCCACCUUCACCCCAACCGCCGAGCGCGACUUCAGUUUUCAAAUGAGGAUAUUUCUGUCUGAGUUGGGUGAAAUUUCUGAAGCCACCCUUCUGAACGUCGAGCUUCUCGUCCAAGACAAGUACCUCCCAGGUAACAUUGCUCACACCAAUGAAGGAGUAGAUCACGUGUGUGCAUAAUUCCCCUGGGAUGUCGUCGAUGCCGUAACUUCCAACGCCAGGUCGAUAUAUCGCCCAGUUGCUGAAGUAACAAACAACUCUGGCGUUCGUAUCUGAUUCAGAGAAAUAUCAAGAUUUUUAUAGAUUGGCACAUAUCGAACGCGAUCUCGGUCUCUUCGAUAUUGAAUAUUACAUUUUAAAUCUUAUCUAGAAUGCGUCAUAUGCGAGUAAAUGCUUACCCGCAGAUGCGUAGACCAAGCAGACUGUAAAAACGGAAAGGGAAAAUAAGAGUUUCAUCGUCGAGGGCGUCAUUCUCAAAGCUAGAAAAAAA